UACGUAGGGUGCGAGCGUUGUCCGGAUUUAUUGGGCGUAAAGAGCGUGUAGGCGGUUCGGUAAGUCUGUCGUGAAAUCCUGAGGCUCAACCUGGGAAUGGCGAUGGUGACUGCAAGGCUAGAGUUUGGCAGAGGGGGGUAGAAUUCCACGUGUAGCAGUGAAAUGCGUAGAUAUGUGGAGGAACACCGAUGGCGAAGGCAGCCCCCUGGGUCAAAACUGACGCUCAUGCACGAAAGCGUGGGGAGCAAACAGG
Molecule: ribosomal RNA, 253 nt
Filed under: uncultured bacterium
Lineage: Bacteria
Description: partial 16S ribosomal RNA
Rfam family: Bacterial small subunit ribosomal RNA
Source: RNAcentral